This is a long non-coding RNA of Eptesicus fuscus (big brown bat), 601 nucleotides long. RefSeq lists it as uncharacterized. The transcript is spliced from 3 exons. The record is from RefSeq and is a predicted model, not a curated record. Lineage: Eukaryota; Metazoa; Chordata; Mammalia; Chiroptera; Vespertilionidae.
UAUUGUUUAGAAUAGGAAGGGAGGUAGACAGCGGAGCUUUGGACUUGUCUUUAAGUCCAAUUUGCCUUUAAAAGAGUAGUUAGUAAGCCAUCUUUUAUAACGUCUGUGCUGGGCUGAAAACAAGGGACAGUAAUAGCAGAUGCAGUGUUGAGAUAAAAUUGAGAGGCACUACUUCCUGAAGAACCCUCUGUCUUGGUUUGCUACUGAGCCUAGUUCCUCAUGGGAAAAGAAGAAAGACCUAGAUUUUGUGUUUGCUUCAUCUUUGUCAGCUCAAGAUCAUUCCAAUGUGUCUUACGAGAUCUCAGACUUCGAGAAAAGCGAUUCUUGGAAUGCCAUCUGGAUAACCAUGAGAUGUGUCCAGACAGACACAUUGCGGAUUAUCUCCAGGAAGGAAGAAAAGUAGGAGAAAGUCUCAGAACUAUUUAUACAAUUACACUGCAGGCUUGGGCCUGGAAAAUAAGAAACUAGGACUUCAGAGUAUUUGCUUGCAUCUCUUCUUUCCUGCAUUUCAUGAAGUUUAAAUUAUAACCACCUGCUUCAGAAGAUAUAAAAAUCCUGAAUUCCACCAUUUUAUUUCAUGUACUAGACUCCAAUUUUCUCU